Molecule: long non-coding RNA, 155 nt
Organism: Triticum aestivum (bread wheat)
Lineage: Eukaryota; Viridiplantae; Streptophyta; Magnoliopsida; Poales; Poaceae
Exons: 3
Source: RefSeq, a predicted model, not a curated record
AUGUGCUUUCCGCCAAGCCAAAGCUUGGAACCUACAACUACGAAAAAGAGAAAACAUGAUAACUCAAUUACUGGAGCAUCAAAAAGCCAAAUGUUGGAGAAAACAACUAAGGAAAAAGGGAAAGGGAGUAAAUCUGGAUCCGGAGUAGCAAAAAG